AAUACCCCUAAUGCGCCUUGAAAUGAGGAACACAAAAGUCACGUGUACACAAAAAAUCUCUGUGUAGUGAUAUUUGACACAUUUCUAUGAUAAACAAAUAACUGAGCUGAACCAUUAGUGUUAAUUUAGAAAAUAAGGGAACACAGAAUAAAUGUGUAAUAACCAUGGAGCUAUGAAAUGUGUUCAAAGUAUUAAAAUUUCAAAGAACUUAUUGUGUUAAAAUUGGGAUUUUUUACCAUGAGGAGCGACAUCGCAAAAGGAUACUCGGGGUUUGCUAAAUUACGGAAAAAUGAAUCACACUUCGUACCCCGAAAAUUUAACCACAUAUGUAAAAAUGUCUCAGCUUCGAAACAAGCCAUCAUACAUAUACAAGUUUACGAUAUGGGCUGAGCAACAGAAGAAAACGUUACCAUUACGGCCUAUGGAAUAACAAUUGCGCAUAUUGCCCCAUCUUGUGAGCUAGGAUCCAGAGAUGUCUUAAGCUAAUUUCACCUUGUACACCACAGAAAAUUGUUAAAAUGAUGUUCCAGACAUAUCAUUACUUUUAAAUAUGAGAUGACAAACUAAAGGUUUUAAAAAGUCCUGAAUAACUGAAAUGGACAAAAAUACACAGAUUUAUUCAGAAUGUCAUACCGAUGAAGAUCAUCUAAAAAUAUUUGGAAAAAUCAGAACUAUGGAUUUCAAUAUGGGACAAUACCCCUAAUGCGCCUUGAAAUGAGGAACACAAAAGUCACGUGUACACAAAAAAUCUCUGUGUAGUGAUAUUUGACACAUUUCUAUGAUAAACAAAUAACUGAGCUGAACCAUUAGUGUUAAUUUAGAAAAUAAGGGAACACAGAAUAAAUGUGUAAUAACCAUGGAGCUAUGAAAUGUGUUCAAAGUAUUAAAAUUUCAAAGAACUUAUUGUGUUAAAAUUGGGAUUUUUUACCAUGAGGAGCGACAUCGCAAAAGGAUACUCGGGGUUUGCUAAAUUACGGAAAAAUGAAUCACACUUCGUACCCCGAAAAUUUAACCACAUAUGUAAAAAUGUCUCAGCUUCGAAACAAGCCAUCAUACAUAUACAAGUUUACGAUAUGGGCUGAGCAACAGAAGAAAACGUUACCAUUACGGCCUAUGGAAUAACAAUUGCGCAUAUUGCCC
Molecule: long non-coding RNA, 1140 nt
Organism: Mytilus trossulus (common blue mussel)
Lineage: Eukaryota; Metazoa; Mollusca; Bivalvia; Mytilida; Mytilidae
Exons: 3
Source: RefSeq, a predicted model, not a curated record